GUUUGUAUUUUGAGUCCGUAAUUGAAUCAAAAGUGAAUCAAAACGUGAACAUCCAGACUACAUUUUGUAUGCUUGUGGAUAACUUCAACC
Molecule: small RNA, 90 nt
Filed under: marine metagenome
Description: SAR11_0636 sRNA
Rfam family: SAR11_0636 sRNA
Source: Rfam by way of RNAcentral